Molecule: ribosomal RNA, 253 nt
Filed under: uncultured bacterium
Lineage: Bacteria
Description: partial 16S ribosomal RNA
Rfam family: Bacterial small subunit ribosomal RNA
Source: RNAcentral
UACGGAGGGUGCGAACGUUGCUCGGAAUUACUGGGCGUAAAGCGCUCGUAGGCGGUUUGUCAAGUCAGAUGUGAAAUCCCCGGGCUUAACUUGGGAAGUGCAUUUGAAACUGGCAAGCUGGAGGAUGGGAGGGGGUAGCGGAAUUCCCGGUGUAGAGGUGAAAUUCGUAGAUAUCGGGAGGAACACCAGAGGCGAAGGCGGCUACCUGGACCAUACCUGACGCUGAGGAGCGAAAGCGUGGGGAGCAAACAGG